Molecule: ribosomal RNA, 1294 nt
Filed under: human oral metagenome
Description: bacterial LSU rRNA
Rfam family: Bacterial large subunit ribosomal RNA
Source: RNAcentral
CACUGGGUAGGGGAGCGUUCUUAUCUGGACGAAGGCAGACCGGAAGGACUGCUGGACGGGUAAGAAGUGAGAAUGCCGGUAUGAGUAGCGAAACGACAGGUGAGAAUCCUGUCCACCGAAAGCCUAAGGGAUCCUGGGCAACGCUCGUCGCCCCAGGGUAAGUCGGGACCUAAGCCGAGGCGAAAAGCAUAGGCGAUGGACAACUGGCGAAAAUUCCAGUACCGGGCGUCUUCGUUUAAGGAUGGAGUGACGCAGGAAGGAAGCUGAGCGCGCGAAUGGUUGAGCGCGUCGAAGGCGGUAGGCUUGUAUGGAGGCAAAUCCCCAUACUACAAGGCCGAGAACCGAUAGAUAGGAAAGACUACGGUCAAUCUGAAUUCAGCUGCACUACACUGCCAAGAAAAGCUUCUAACGAGAAGACGUCCGCCCGUACCAAAACCGACACAGGUAGGCGGGGAGAGAAUCCUAAGGUGCGCGGGAAAACCCUCGUUAAGGAACUCGGCAAAAUGCAUCCGUAACUUCGGGAAAAGGAUGGCCGUUGAUGGUGACGACACUUGCUGUCUGAGCUGUUGGCGGCGGCAGAAAAGAGGCCCAAGCGACUGUUUACCACAAACACAGGUGCCUGCGAAAGCGCAAGCUGAAGUAUAGGUGCUGACGCCUGCCCGGUGCAGGAAGGUUAAGGAGAGUUGUUAGUCCUUGAGAUGAAGCAGCGAACUGAAGCCCCUGUAAACGGCGGCCGUAACUAUAACGGUCCUAAGGUAGCGAAAUUCCUUGUCGGGUAAGUUCCGACCCGCACGAAAGGCGUAACGAUUUGGGCACUGUCUCAACGAGGGACCCGGUGAAAUUGAAAUACCUGUGAAGAUGCAGGUUACCCGCGACUGGACAGAAAGACCCCAUGGAGCUUUACUGCAGCUUGGCAUUGGUCUUUGGCAUAUGACGUACAGGAUAGCCGGGAGACUGGGAGGAUAGAUCGCUAGAUUUAUCGGAGUCACCGUUGGGAUACCGGCCUUCAUAUGCGAAGGAUCUAACCGGAAUGUUAACAGCAUUCGGGACAGUACCAGGCGGGCAGUUUGACUGGGGCGGUCGCCUCCGAAAGAGCAACGGAGGCGUCCAAAGGUUCCCUCAGCGCGGACAGAAAUCGCGCGCAGAGCAUAAAGGCAGAAGGGAGCUUGACUGCGAGACUGACGGGUCGAGCAGGUACGAAAGUAGGGCUUAGUGAUCCGGUGGAAAGAGAGUGGAAUUGCCAUCGCUCAACGGAUAAAAGCUACCCUGGGGAUAACAGGCUAAUCUCUCCCAA